This 685-nucleotide unclassified non-coding RNA is filed under the name Rasamsonia argillacea. RNAcentral's name for it is "sequence contains 18S rRNA gene, ITS1, 5.8S rRNA gene, ITS2, 28S rRNA gene". The stretch from base 75 to 405 matches the Rfam family "Group I catalytic intron". Lineage: Eukaryota; Fungi; Ascomycota; Eurotiomycetes; Eurotiales; Trichocomaceae. The record is from RNAcentral.
UGCGCUGGAAUGGAUGAUUCCUUCCGCGGUGUACACUUAUGGAAGCCUUUGCAGCCACGCAAGUGGUAGACCCGAAGCGACUGUAAACAAGUUUGGUGUCGUGAUGCAAGUCAGCGGUCCGCUGGCGACACUUUCGAAUUGACGGGGACACCCUAAAGCCGAUCGCACCAACCCGUGCGGGGAAACCUCACGGGGGCCUGUGGUAACGACACAGGGGACGGUAACAGACGAUCCGGAUAGUUCUGCCUGGCAGAGAGGAUGGGUAAUCCGCAGCGAAGCCCCUACGUCGCGCCCCCCUCCGGGGGCUCGAUACGGGGAACGUUCACAGACUAAGUGGAAGUGGGUGGGGUCCCCAGGCCUGGGACCCUGCUUAAGAUAUAGUCGGGCCACCUGGGAGACCAGGUGGGAAGUACACCGCUACGAACCGUUCCGUAGGUGAACCUGCGGAAGGAUCAUUACCGAGUGAGGGUCCCCUCCGGGGGGCCCAACCUCCCACCCGUGUCUACUGUACCAUGUUGCUUCGGCGGGCGCGCCCGUGCCCGCCGGAGACCCCUUGAACGCUGUUGUGAAUGAGGUUGUCUGAGUGAGAUUGCAAACUGUCAAAACUUUCAAACAACGGAUCUCUUGGGUUCCGGCAUCGAUGAAGAACGCAGCCGAAAUGCGAUAAGUAAUGUGAAUUGCAGAA